ACGCUGGCGCGUGCUUCAUACAUGCAAGUCGAACGAGAAGCUAGCUUCGGUUAGUGGAAAGUGGCGGACGGGUGAGUAACGCGUGGGCAAUCUGCCUCUUACAGGGGGAUAACACAGGGAAACCUGUGCUAAUACCGCAUAACACUUUAGUACCGCAUGGUACAGAAGUCAAAGCUUUAUGUGCUGAGAGAUGGUCUCGCGUCUGAUUAGCUAGAUGGCGGGUAACGGCCCACCAUGGCGACGAUCAGUAGCCGGUCUGAGAGGUUGAUCGGCCACAUUGGGACUGAGACACGGCCCAGACUCCUACGGGAGGCAGCAGUGGGGGAUAUUGCACAAUGGGGGAAACCCUGAUGCAGCAACGCCGCGUGAAGGAAGAAGGUCUUCGGAUUGUAAACUCUUGUCUUUAGGGAAGAAGAAAGUGACGGUACCUAAGGAGGAAGCCACGGCUAACUACGUG
This 457-nucleotide ribosomal RNA is filed under the name uncultured bacterium. RNAcentral describes it as "bacterial SSU rRNA". It matches the Rfam family "Bacterial small subunit ribosomal RNA", at positions 33 to 507 of the family's 1533-position model. The record is from RNAcentral.